RNAcentral lists this ribosomal RNA (449 nucleotides) under uncultured bacterium. Its description in RNAcentral is "bacterial SSU rRNA". It matches the Rfam family "Bacterial small subunit ribosomal RNA", at positions 355 to 825 of the family's 1533-position model. The record is from RNAcentral.
UGAGGAAUAUUGCACAAUGGGGGCAACCCUGAUGCAGCGACGCCGCGUGGGUGAUGAAGGUUUUCGGAUCGUAAAGCCCUUUUCUGCAUGACGAGCACAGGACGGUAGUGCAGGAAUAAGUGUCGGCUAACUACGUGCCAGCAGCCGCGGUAAUACGUAGGGUGCAAGCGUUAAUCGGAAUUACUGGGCGUAAAGCGUGCGCAGGCGGUUGUGUAAGUCAGAUGUGAAAUCCCCGGGCUUAACCUGGGAACUGCGUUUGAAACUGGGGAGCUAGAGUGUGGAAGAGGGGGGUGGAAUUCCAGGUGUAGCAGUGAAAUGCGUAGAGAUCUGGAGGAACACCGAUGGCGAAGGCAGCCCCCUGGGCUAACACUGACGCUCAUGCACGAAAGCGUGGGGAGCAAACAGGAUUAGAUACCCCGGUAGUCCCUGAGCGGGCUGGCAAGGCGCAU